Molecule: ribosomal RNA, 253 nt
Filed under: uncultured bacterium
Lineage: Bacteria
Description: partial 16S ribosomal RNA
Rfam family: Bacterial small subunit ribosomal RNA
Source: RNAcentral
UACGAAGGGGGCUAGCGUUGCUCGGAAUCACUGGGCGUAAAGCGCACGUAGGCGGACUCUUAAGUCGGUGGUGAAAUCCUAGAGCUCAACUCCAGAACUGCCUUCGAUACUGAGAGUCUCGAGUCCGGGAGAGGUGAGUGGAACUGCGAGUGUAGAGGUGAAAUUCGUAGAUAUUCGCAAGAACACCAGUGGCGAAGGCGGCUCACUGGCCCGGUACUGACGCUGAGGUGCGAAAGCGUGGGGAGCAAACAGG